RNAcentral lists this long non-coding RNA (278 nucleotides) under Dromaius novaehollandiae (emu). RNAcentral's name for it is "lncRNA (ENSDNVG00000011568.1)". Lineage: Eukaryota; Metazoa; Chordata; Aves; Casuariiformes; Dromaiidae. The record is from RNAcentral.
GGCUGGCAGGGGCCUCGGGAGAUCGUCCGCUCCAACGCCCAGCCCACAGCAGGGUCAGCAGAGCAGUUGGGUUGUGAAUACGUCCGAAGAUGGAGACUCCACAACCACACUGAACCACCUAUUGAUGGAUGUGGAAUGUUGUCUGAAGAUCAGCUGGAACCUCYCCAAACUGAACUGCCAAUGUGUUCAUCCCUGCUGAGCGGACUCUUUUCUGAGCUGUGUAAUGGACUGCCAUGCUGGGACWGCUUCCCCUCCUGCACCUGAAUGCUUUUCCUGAG